This 66-nucleotide microRNA precursor is filed under the name Pongo abelii (Sumatran orangutan). Its description in RNAcentral is "miRNA". The record is from RNAcentral. Lineage: Eukaryota; Metazoa; Chordata; Mammalia; Primates; Hominidae.
CAUACUUUGUCUCCAUGUUUCCUUCCCCCUUAGGGGAAGGAAUGGACAAUUCCUUCACAAAGUGUG